Molecule: ribosomal RNA, 253 nt
Filed under: uncultured bacterium
Lineage: Bacteria
Description: partial 16S ribosomal RNA
Rfam family: Bacterial small subunit ribosomal RNA
Source: RNAcentral
UACGGAGGGAGCAAGCGUUGUUCGGAUUUACUGGGCGUAAAGGGCGCGUAGGCGGCGUGACAAGUCACUUGUGAAAUCUCCGGGCUUAACUCGGAACGGUCAAGUGAUACUGUCGUGCUAGAGUACAGAAGGGGCAACUGGAAUUCUCGGUGUAGCGGUGAAAUGCGUAGAUAUCGAGAGGAACACCUGCGGCGAAGGCGGGUUGCUGGGCUGAUACUGACGCUGAGGCGCGAAAGCCAGGGGAGCGAACGGG